Molecule: small nuclear RNA, 20 nt
Filed under: Arabidopsis thaliana (thale cress)
Lineage: Eukaryota; Viridiplantae; Streptophyta; Magnoliopsida; Brassicales; Brassicaceae
Description: snRNA_13291
Source: RNAcentral
CGCCUCUAAGUCAGAAUCCG